Long non-coding RNA from Oncorhynchus keta (chum salmon), 1483 nucleotides. RefSeq lists it as uncharacterized. Lineage: Eukaryota; Metazoa; Chordata; Actinopteri; Salmoniformes; Salmonidae. The transcript has 5 exons. The record is from RefSeq and is a predicted model, not a curated record.
CUCUUUUCAGUGUCCAAAUUAGCAGAGUGGCUUGACUUAAGGGAGACAUUUUGGGAUGAGUUACAGAGACCCAGUUCUGAAGGAUAUGGUGGAAUGACAGAUGACCACAGAGAAUUACACCUCAUCCUCAGAGAGAGUGAACAUAUAACAGAAAAGCUCUCUCAGACAGUUUCUGACCUGACCACCCUCAUGUACCUGAAAGAAGCAGAGCUUCAAUACUGCCACUCACAAGUCUCCCGCUAUCAGAAGGAAGCUGUCACUCAAGCUCGGGGGGCCAACAUUCUGCAGGCCAGCCUAUCAGAGCGUUAGUUUGAAUUGGAGACCCAAUCAAAGGAGUUGGCAGUCCUGCGGUUGGAGCAGCGGGAGUUGAGGGGCUUGCAGCCUGGAGAGAGAAAGAGGGGCACAGGAGAGAUGGCGUCGUUUCACCCAUCUGCUCAACAAGCACCUCCGUAGAACGAUGCUGCGACCAGGUGAGCAGACCAACUCCUGGAUGACUGGUAGGCCUUCAACAGAACCAGUAACUGCCAUACAGAGUAAGACUUCCAAUAGCCUUAAAUUAUCCUCAUUGGGGGGUUGCUAUUGUAGUUCUGAUUGCAUACUCUAAUCACAGUGACGUGUAGUGAUACGUAUGCAUAACUGCCCACUGUCCAUUCUCCUGUCUUUUCUCUGUAAGGAGACAAACAGACACAGAACACACAGCAGUGUCAGGCACUCGCUUGCGUCCCAACUAAUAUGCGUUCUCUAAUUCUCUCCUUCUCUUUCUUUCUCUGUCUCGGAGGACCUGAGCCCUAGGACCGUGCCCCAGGACUACCUGACAUGAUGACUCCUUGCUGUCCCCAGUCCACCUGACUGUGCUGCUGCUCCAGUUUCAACUGUUCUGCCUUAUUAUUAUUCGACCAUGCUGGUCAUUUAUGAACAUUUGAACAUCUUGGCCAUGUUCUGUUAUAAUCUCCACCCGGCACAGCCAGAAGAGGACUGGCCACCCCACAUAGCCUGGUUCCUCUCUAGGUUUCUUCCUAGGUUUUGGCCUUUCUAGGGAGUUUUUCCUAGCCACCGUGCUUCUACACCUGCAUUGCUUGCUGUUUGGGGUUUUAGGCUGGGUUUCUGUACAGCACUUUGAGAUAUCAGCUGAUGUACGAAGGGCUAUAUGAAUACAUUUGAUUUGAUUUAGAUUUGAUUUAAUAUCAAGCUCUGCUUUGCCCAGAGGAGGAUGGUGCACACUGCCCAGGGUGGACCUUGACACAUUUUCCCAAAACUUCCUGUACUAAAACAGACCUUGAAUGUGGCUCAAAUGUUUUUUUUUACAUGUUUAUCUAUUGAAAGAUAUUGAUUUGAAUCAAUGUAUCUAUAGGUAAAGCUAAUUAUAAACCACUGUAAUACUGUUGUGAAUUUCAGAUACUGUAUGUACAGGCUUAUUUAAGUGAGUACCUAAGACCUAACUCAAUGUUUUAUUUAAAAUACUACGAGCAAUAAAGUAAAACUU